UACGUAGGGUGCAAGCGUUAAUCGGAAUUACUGGGCGUAAAGCGUGCGCAGGCGGUUGUGCAAGACAGAUGUGAAAUCCCCGGGCUCAACCUGGGAACUGCAUUUGUGACUGCACGGCUAGAGUGUGUCAGAGGGGGGUAGAAUUCUACGUGUAGCAGUGAAAUGCGUAGAGAUGUGGAGGAAUACCGAUGGCGAAGGCAGCCCCCUGGGAUAACACUGACGCUCAUGCACGAAAGCGUGGGGAGCAAACAGG
Molecule: ribosomal RNA, 253 nt
Filed under: uncultured bacterium
Lineage: Bacteria
Description: partial 16S ribosomal RNA
Rfam family: Bacterial small subunit ribosomal RNA
Source: RNAcentral